Non-coding RNA from Taeniopygia guttata (zebra finch), 1188 nucleotides. Lineage: Eukaryota; Metazoa; Chordata; Aves; Passeriformes; Estrildidae. The record is from RefSeq and is a predicted model, not a curated record.
UGAAAACAGGCAAACAUUUGAAGAGUAUUCUACAGAACACAGAUCUUUCAACACCUCCCCCUUUCCAUGGCUAAUUCAUUGUCAUGGAAACUGAAUUUAUCAAAAUGUUCUUGUUCACUCCUAGUGACCCUGUGAAUCGACUUACAGAGCUGGUGAAAGGUAACUCAGACUGAAGCAAUUUUUACAAAUGAUAUGCAGCAGUUCAUAAGUCAGUAAAUUUUGAAUGGCAUCAUUGUACUUCCCAAGUAGUCUUCCCUAGCCUCAAAAGACUCUUUCUGUCUGCAAGCUGGAGGUGUCUGAAACACUUACUAAUAAGUUAGCAUGGCUGGUAUAUCAUUUUCCUGUGUCGAUAUGUAGCCCAAGGAUGCAAAAAUCCUUCAUCACCUCAUGACAAACAUCUCUUCUUAUCUGUUACUGAAGAUAGGUGUUGACUACCAAGUGUAAUGCACAAUGACUACUGUAUGCAGCCAGCUCUGCCAAACCCAAAAUAACCCUGGAACUCUGAGUGUUUUCACCAUGUCUCAGAAGAUUGACCAUAUGCAAGCUGCCUUGGUGCGCUGAAGGAUCCCAUUCCAAAAUGGCUCCUCAAGAGCCAUUACUCAAAGAAAAUUUAAAGUCUGAGCCUGAUGUCUGUCUCUAUGGUAACUACAUGGAGGUGGGCAAUUCCCGUGUCUGGUGAGAUAUAAUUUUUUUCAUUUCUUUCUAAGGAUGCCAGAAUGAAUCAUCCCUCUUGCUUCUCAUUAUAGCUUAUAAAACUAUUAUUUUCUUUUUAUGUAAAAUGGGGCUUCAGUUGUCAUCAAAAUCUUCUUAUUGUAGUGAUGUAGUUAAAAGAUUUAUUUUUAUAUUAUUUAGUUCCUGAAUCUAACUAAUAGAUUCAUUUGAAUGAAAAAGGAUUUUAACCAGUAGCUGAGGGUACAAGACCCAAUUCCUUAUGUUUGACAGAAAUGAUAGUCAAAAUCAUACAGAAAAGGGAUAAACUACUAUCAGAACAGAUUAUUUCUGAGGAGUGCAACUGACCACCAAGGAUGAGAUUCUGCAGACACAUGUCUCCUAUAUUAAUAGAUUUCAUGUCCACAGGCAUAUUCUAGAUGACUAUUAACAAUGUUUCAUUAAAUGCACUUUCACUAUGUUUCGGAUUUUUUUGUAAUGGCAUUUUAAAAUAUAUUUUAUUUAUAAUAGGAAUUCCAG